RNAcentral lists this ribosomal RNA (597 nucleotides) under Cladaster validus. RNAcentral's name for it is "partial 16S ribosomal RNA". It matches the Rfam family "Bacterial large subunit ribosomal RNA", at positions 1816 to 2597 of the family's 2925-position model. Lineage: Eukaryota; Metazoa; Echinodermata; Asteroidea; Valvatida; Goniasteridae. The record is from RNAcentral.
CGCUCUUCGCUAAAGGUUCUAGUGUAUGAGGAGUCCUGCCUGCCCAGUGACUUUAGUGGUUAAACGGCCGCGGUAUUUUGACCGUGCAAAGGUAGCAUAAUCAUUUGCCUCUUAAAUAGAGGCUGGUAUGAAUGGCAAGACGGAGGUUUGACUGUCUCUUUCUUAAGGAGGUUGAAUUUAAUUUCUUUGUGAAGAAGCAAAGAUAAGAUCGUAGGACGAGAAGACCCUGUCGAGCUGAAGUAGUAAAAAUUAAGUGUUGUUAAGUACUCUUAUGCUAAUUUAUUUUCGGUAGAAAUUGUAGAAUUUACGUAAGGUAUGAGUAUACUGUAUUAUUUCUUGUUUUGGUUGGGGCAAUCGCGGAGUAGAUGUAACCUCCGUUAUAAGUAUUGAUAUAAUAAAGUGACUUCUUUUUGUAGUAUAAAAUGUAUAUAUGAUCCACUAGGAAGUGAGUAAAGGAAUAAGUUACCGCAGGGAUAACAGCGUAAUUUUCUUGGAGAGUUCAUAUUGAUAAGAAAGUUUGCGACCUCGAUGUUGGAUCGGGAUUUCCAGGAGAUGCAGCAGUUUCCAAGGGUUGGUCUGUUCGACCAUUAAAAUCCU